GAACACACAACAAUGUCCUGACAACCUCUCAGAACACAUAGCAGCACCCCAGCAACCUUUCAGAACACAUAGCAACACCCCAGCAACCUCUCAGAACACAUGGCAACACCCCGGCAACCUCUCAGAACACAUAGCAACACCCCAGCAGCCUCUCAGAACACAUAGCAACGCCCCAGCAACCUCUCAGAACACAUACCAAUGCCCCAGCAACCUCUCAGAAUAGAUAGCAACACCCUGGCAACAAUUUGCAAUGCUCUAGCAUAGCAGUGUUUGCACGGGAAAGCACCGCUCAAGGUUCUGAAUGUAAUUCCGCAUGACAAUAAGCCUCAGGGCUGUUUCAUGUCAGCCUUCGGUUCACUACAGUUAUAUAGAGCUGAACUGUAAUAUCAUUGUGUUACUAUGCACUUUUCCAAACUGAUAGCAAGCUAAAGUGAGAACUAAUAGGACUUCAGGGCUGGUUUUCCCUCCUAAGGGAUUUUUAAACUAAGCUGCAGGGGCCGUAAAGUCUUGACAGAGCGCUGAUGAAUGUGUGAUCAUAUCCAUUGCGAAGAAAAUGGGGGGUUUCACAGAGAGUUACAGGGCCUUGAUUCAAUGCUUCAUUGCACUUGGGGAAUCAGGAAUUUGGCUCGUGAAAAGACCCCCAAUUUUGGGGGGGCCCCACUUUAUCAUCUAAAAAAAAAUCGCUGUUAGUGUCAAAUGCUCAAAAAUGGAAAACAGAGCAGGAGGAAAUGAAGAAGGGGUGAAAGAGUAAAAUCAUUUGUUGGAGCUAUAAAGUCAUGGGGGGCUAAAAUUAUAUUCUGACAUGCCUAAGCCAUGCAAUCAAAGUGCCAAGAGACUUAAAGACCGGCAUACAAGGGCGUAUUGUGCUUCUCAGUGACAUCACUCCUGAGUAAGAGGGAAGGGAGACAGGGAGAUUCCCAGUUUUCCCUCUGGGGUGAAAAAGGCCAAGGUUGAUGUUGAUUGCCACGUCGCCAUGUGGGAGGAUUGUACUGAGGGCCGGCCUGCCCUCACUCCAUCCAUAGCCAUCAGAGCUGAAAUGAAUGCAUGCUAUAUAUUUAUUUAGGUUUUCAAAUAGACAUACAAUUCAGAUCAGAUAUCGCUGAGAAAGUCUCUAACCGCUAAGGAGGAGAUUUCCUCAGCUGAUUUAUGAAGAUGAAAAUGUGAAGGCUUAGAGGGGUGUUGUGUGCUUUUGGACUUGGCAGUAUUUCUCUAUUAAGAGGCUGUGAAAGCCAAAUGGUCAUUCUUGGGUGGAGUGUGAUAGAUGAGCUAAACUCUGACUCUGCGUGCAAACGUGCAAGCCAACAUGUCAAGUAUAGAAAAGUACAUGAAACAGGCUCAAAUGCUCAUCAGUCUACACAAGUUUGACCACUCAGUGAUGUACAUGAUGUACUGUGAGCGCCAUUGCUGGACAAACUCAUGUACUUGAGUUUAACUACAGUUAAUCUAAUGAAAUACAUUUCAGCAUUACUGUAGCACUACCAAGGAAUAGAUCAAGAAGUCAUUAUUCACUCAUUUACAUUUAUUAAUUUAUGUUCACUUUUAUUUAUUUUUUAUUUGUUUGUGUUCAACAGAAGAAGGAAAGUGAUGUAGACUUGGAACAACAAGAGGGAAAAUGGAAGGCCUGGCUUCGUGCAAGCAACUACCCUUAAAUUCAGGAAGCAAUGAACAAUGUGAAAGAUAACAUUCCUCCAAGAGCUAGGUGCCAUAAUAAUCUACAGGGGAUUUGAGACGUUGGCAUGAAAAACUCUUCCUGAAGGCAAAUUAUGCAAAGUUUGAAAAUGUGUAUCAGGUUAUGUAGCUGCUGGGAACAGGAACUGCCUCGCACUUUGCCAUCUAGCUUCUUGAGAUCAAGUUUGGCCAUGUGACAUGACCUGUCACACUCUUGAGUAGGUUCACAUAAACACUUCUGAGCUUUUUUCAGUUUCUCUGUCAAAGCACAAACAGGUUAUUCCAGUCAGCAGGAUAAUCUCAGUUCGGCCUGCAGGCUAAUGCUGCCUGUGUUCACUUAAAGAGUUAGCAAUUCACCCUUCUGUCACAGUCACAUAGGAAAUCGUUGAAAAGCAAAAACAGAACUAACUUCUUGAAGACUCUUCAAAGGAAGUUAAUAAACACUGGAUCAAAUAAGAGGUUUUCAUAAAUGCGCCAGAGAAAUAGACAAAGUUUGAGUUCAUUUGCUCUGUUUUGUAUUUUUUGAUUUCAGUGAAAAAGACACACCCAGAUGUGUUUAUAUCUCUUUUAUACCUCAGUAAAUAAUAUAAUUUAAUAUAAUCAAUAUAAUUACAUCUCAUUUCAGUAUGUAAACAACAAAACAUUAGGUGCAAGGUAUACGUUUAUCAGUUUGUCACUGGGAAUCAAUCUUUUUUUCUCAUAAAUGGCUUAGUAUCUCAUAAUUCCAAUUUUU
Cyprinus carpio (common carp) is the source of this 2401-nucleotide long non-coding RNA. RefSeq lists it as uncharacterized. NCBI's taxonomy places the organism in Eukaryota, Metazoa, Chordata, Actinopteri, Cypriniformes, Cyprinidae. The record is from RefSeq and is a predicted model, not a curated record.